UACGUAGGGUGCGAGCGUUGUCCGGAAUUAUUGGGCGUAAAGAGCUCGUAGGCGGUCUGUUGCGUCAGGAGUGAAAACUCGGGGCUUAACCCCGAGCCUGCUUCUGAUACGGGCAGACUAGAGGUAUGCAGGGGAGAACGGAAUUCCUGGUGUAGAGGUGAAAUUCGUAGAUAUCAGGAGGAACACCAGUGGCGAAGGCGGCUUCCUGGACACUAACUGACGCUGAGACGCGAAAGCGUGGGGAGCAAACAGG
This 253-nucleotide ribosomal RNA is filed under the name uncultured bacterium. RNAcentral's name for it is "partial 16S ribosomal RNA". It matches the Rfam family "Bacterial small subunit ribosomal RNA", at positions 524 to 776 of the family's 1533-position model. The record is from RNAcentral.